CGGGGUGUAGCGCAGUUGGCUAGCGUACUUGCUUUGGGAGCAAGUGGUCGUCAGUUCGAGUCUGACCACCCCGA
Molecule: transfer RNA, 74 nt
Filed under: Bacteroidota bacterium
Lineage: Bacteria; Pseudomonadati; Bacteroidota
Also listed under: 2 other names
Description: Bacteroidetes bacterium (hot springs metagenome) tRNA-Pro
Rfam family: tRNA
About the family: Transfer RNA (tRNA) molecules are approximately 80 nucleotides in length. Their secondary structure includes four short double-helical elements and three loops (D, anti-codon, and T loops).
Source: RNAcentral